This is a transfer RNA of Aureobasidium pullulans, 91 nucleotides long. It matches the Rfam family "tRNA". From Rfam's summary of the family: Transfer RNA (tRNA) molecules are approximately 80 nucleotides in length. Their secondary structure includes four short double-helical elements and three loops (D, anti-codon, and T loops). The record is from Rfam. Lineage: Eukaryota; Fungi; Ascomycota; Dothideomycetes; Dothideales; Saccotheciaceae.
UCUUCAUUGGUCUAGUGGUCAUGAUUUCCGCUUGUCAAGAGUAAUGUCUCGUCAAGCGCGGGAGACCGGGGUUCGAUUCCCCGAUGGAGAG